RNAcentral lists this ribosomal RNA (460 nucleotides) under uncultured bacterium. Its description in RNAcentral is "partial 16S ribosomal RNA". It matches the Rfam family "Bacterial small subunit ribosomal RNA", at positions 338 to 795 of the family's 1533-position model. The record is from RNAcentral.
CCUACGGGCGGCUGCAGUGAGGAAUAUUGGUCAAUGGACGAGAGUCUGAACCAGCCAAGUAGCGUGAAGGAUUACUGCCCUAUGGGUUGUAAACUUCUUUUAUAAAGGAAUAAAACGAGGCACGUGUGCCUUUUUGCAUGUACUUUAUGAAUAAGGAUCGGCUAACUCCGUGCCAGCAGCCGCGGUAAUACGGAGGAUCCGAGCGUUAUCCGGAUUUAUUGGGUUUAAAGGGAGCGUAGAUGGGUUGUUAAGUCAGUUGUGAAAGUUUGCGGCUCAACCGUAAAAUUGCAAUUGAUACUGGCAGUCGUGAGUACAGUUGAGGUAGGCGGAAUUCGUGGUGUAGCGGUGAAAUGCUUAGAUAUCACGAAGAACCCCGAUUGCGAAGGCAGCUUACUAAACUGUGACUGACAUUGAUGCUCGGAAGUGUGGGUAUCAAACAGGAUUAGAUACCCCUGUAGUC